CCUACGGGGCGCUGCAGUGGGGAAUAUUGGACAAUGGGCGAAAGCCUGAUCCAGCCAUGCCGCGUGUGUGAAGAAGGCCUUCGGGUUGUAAAGCACUUUCAGUGGGGAAGAAAGCCUUGGGGCUAAUACCCUCGAGGAAGGACAUCACCCACAGAAGAAGCACCGGCUAACUCCGUGCCAGCAGCCGCGGUAAUACGGAGGGUGCGAGCGUUAAUCGGAAUUACUGGGCGUAAAGCGCGCGUAGGCGGUCUGAUAAGCCGGUUGUGAAAGCCCCGGGCUCAACCUGGGAACGGCAUCCGGAACUGUCAGGCUAGAGUGCAGGAGAGGAAGGUAGAAUUCCCGGUGUAGCGGUGAAAUGCGUAGAGAUCGGGAGGAAUACCAGUGGCGAAGGCGGCCUUCUGGACUGACACUGACGCUGAGGUGCGAAAGCGUGGGUAGCAAACAGGAUUAGAUACCCGGGUAGUC
This 465-nucleotide ribosomal RNA is filed under the name Vreelandella stevensii. RNAcentral's name for it is "partial 16S ribosomal RNA". It matches the Rfam family "Bacterial small subunit ribosomal RNA", at positions 338 to 795 of the family's 1533-position model. The record is from RNAcentral. Lineage: Bacteria; Pseudomonadati; Pseudomonadota; Gammaproteobacteria; Oceanospirillales; Halomonadaceae.